This 253-nucleotide ribosomal RNA is filed under the name uncultured bacterium. Its description in RNAcentral is "partial 16S ribosomal RNA". It matches the Rfam family "Bacterial small subunit ribosomal RNA", at positions 524 to 776 of the family's 1533-position model. The record is from RNAcentral.
UACGUAGGCAGCAAGCGUUGUUCGGAAUUACUGGGCGUAAAGCGAGUGUAGGCGGUUGCCCAAGUCAGGUGUGAAAGCCUUGAGCUCAACUCAAGAAAUGCACUUGGUACUGGGUGGCUAGAGGACCGGAGAGGAUAGUGGAAUUCCCAGUGUAGUGGUGAAAUACGUAGAGAUUGGGAAGAACACCAGUGGCGAAGGCGGCUAUCUGGACGGUUACUGACGCUAAGACUCGAAAGCGUGGGGAGCAAACAGG